ACAUCCAGAGAACUUAGCAGAGAUGCUUUGGUGCCUUCGGGAACUCUGAGACAGGUGCUGCAUGGCUGUCGUCAGCUCGUGUUGUGAAAUGUUGGGUUAAGUCCCGCAACGAGCGCAACCCUUAUCCUUUGUUGCCAGCGGUUCGGCCGGGAACUCAAAGGAGACUGCCGGUGAUAAACCGGAGGAAGGUGGGGAUGACGUCAAGUCAUCAUGGCCCUUACGGCCAGGGCUACACACGUGCUACAAUGGCGCAUACAAAGAGAAGCGACCUCGCGAGAGCAGGCGGACCUCAUAAAGUGCGUCGUAGUCCGGAUUGGAGUCUGCAACUCGACUCCAUGAAGUCGGAAUCGCUAGUAAUCGUAGAUCAGAAUGCUACGGUGAAUACGUUCCCGGGCCUUGUACACACCGCCCGUCACACCAUGGGAGUGGGUUGCAAAAGAAGUAGGUAGCUUAACCUUCGGGAGGACGCUUACCACUUUGUGAUUCAUGACUGGGGUGAAGUCGUAACAAGGUAAGCGUAGCGAG
RNAcentral lists this ribosomal RNA (525 nucleotides) under uncultured bacterium. RNAcentral's name for it is "bacterial SSU rRNA". It matches the Rfam family "Bacterial small subunit ribosomal RNA", at positions 984 to 1509 of the family's 1533-position model. The record is from RNAcentral.